GGCUCGUUGGUCUAGGGGUAUGAUUCCUGCUUCGGGCGCAGGAGGUCCCGGGUUCAAAUCCCGGGCGAGCCC
This 72-nucleotide transfer RNA is filed under the name Schistocerca americana (American grasshopper). RNAcentral describes it as "tRNA-Pro". It matches the Rfam family "tRNA". From Rfam's summary of the family: Transfer RNA (tRNA) molecules are approximately 80 nucleotides in length. Their secondary structure includes four short double-helical elements and three loops (D, anti-codon, and T loops). Further hydrogen bonds mediate the characteristic L-shaped molecular structure. tRNAs have two regions of fundamental functional importance: the anti-codon, which is responsible for specific mRNA codon recognition, and the 3' end, to which the tRNAs corresponding amino acid is attached (by aminoacyl-tRNA synthetases). tRNAs cope with the degeneracy of the genetic code in two manners: having more than one tRNA (with a specific anti-codon) for a particular amino acid; and 'wobble' base-pairing, i.e. permitting non-standard base-pairing at the 3rd anti-codon position. Lineage: Eukaryota; Metazoa; Arthropoda; Insecta; Orthoptera; Acrididae. The record is from RNAcentral.